GACGAACGCUGGCGGCGUGCCUAAUACAUGCAAGUUGAGCGAUGAAGAUUGGUGCUUGCACCAAUUUGAAGAGCAGCGAACGGGUGAGUAACGCGUGGGGAAUCUGCCUUUGAGCGGGGGACAACAUUUGGAAACGAAUGCUAAUACCGCAUAACAACUUUAAACAUAAGUUUUAAGUUUGAAAGAUGCAAUUGCAUCACUCAAAGAUGAUCCCGCGUUGUAUUAGCUAGUUGGUGAGGUAAAGGCUCACCAAGGCGAUGAUACAUAGCCGACCUGAGAGGGUGAUCGGCCACAUUGGGACUGAGACACGGCCCAAACUCCUACGGGAGGCAGCAGUAGGGAAUCGUCGGCAAUGGACGAAAGUCUGACCGAGCAACGCCGCGUGAGUGAAGAAGGGUUUCGGAUCGUAAAACUCUGUUGGUAGAGAAGAACGUUGGUGAGAGUGGAAAGCUCAUCAAGUGACGGUAACUACCCAGAAAGGGACGGCUAACUACGUG
Molecule: ribosomal RNA, 497 nt
Filed under: uncultured bacterium
Lineage: Bacteria
Description: partial 16S ribosomal RNA
Rfam family: Bacterial small subunit ribosomal RNA
Source: RNAcentral